AAUUGCCAAAUUUUUUUUAGGGCAAAUCUCCAAAAUAGCACAUUUCUAAGUUUAUAUCAUAAAAAUAGCACUCAAAAACUAAAAUGACCAAAAUAGCACCUUUCUAAGUUUAUACUUUGAAAAUUUUAAUUUUUUUAUUUUCCAAAAUUUGAAAUCUUAUCCCCAAAACCUCAUUUCUCAACUCUAAACCCUAAACCCUAAACUCUAAACCCUAAACCAUAAACCCUAAACCAUAAACUCUAAACCCUAAACCCUAAACCCUAAACCCUAAACCCUAAAAUC
Molecule: long non-coding RNA, 282 nt
Filed under: Brassica napus (rape)
Lineage: Eukaryota; Viridiplantae; Streptophyta; Magnoliopsida; Brassicales; Brassicaceae
Description: long non-coding RNA (BNAP_LNC015969)
Source: RNAcentral